CGACGCGUCAUGCGUGUCAUGUAACACACCGCAGCCACAUGCAUCACUAUUAUUUUGUUUUUCCUUUUUUAUUUAAAAUAUUCACAAACCUUGCUUGCCAUGUCAUCAACUAUCUGAUAUUCAUAUUCUCAAAUACGUGAAUGCACUUCUAACAGUUGAGUGCUGGAUAAUAAACGGGCUCAUAUAUCCAUAUUCACCCAUCAGGUGGUCAUCGUGCGGAUUCUUAUGGAGCAGAGCAGCGUGACUGAUCUGGUGUGCAGACAUCAUCAGGAGCACAAACAUAUUUUGGAUUCUUGGUUGCUGCUGGAAUGUCAUUUUUUCACCUAUUUUAUGGAAUGAAGAAAGCUGCCGAAGCAGAUAAAGUCCAUCAGACUGAGUGAACAAGCAUGAAUCAAGUGUCCUCCUCAGAAAGAGCCAAGGAAUGCGGGAAGGUUCUUUGUACAACUGUAUAUUUUAGCUUAAGAGAACAAAAGAUUUCCUAAAUUCUGUGGCUCUAUUGAUGAAGCAUCACAUGGGUCACUGUAAUCUCUUGUGAUAGUGGCUAGUGUGAAUUUUUAGGUUUCACAACAGUUCUAACAUUAAAAGUGCAAAAGGUUUAGGAGUGGAGAACAAGUUUUUGUGAUUGUUUCAAGUGGUGACAACAUUAUGACAAGUUCACAUCUGGUUUUGCACAAUUCACUAGCGUUGCUUGCUUUUAAUCAUGCUGUUGUGAAGGAAGCUGGCUUCAUGGACAAUAUAGAUAAGUGUUUCCAAUCCUCUGUGGUUUACUGGAAGACAAAAGCAUUACUGUAUGAUGAGGAAAGAUGCUUUUCACAAACAAAUAAAGAGUCAGCAACUUCGGUUUGCCACCAUAUUUUCUGAGCAUAUGCAUGCACAAAGGUGGUCGAAUUUCCACUUCCACUUAUGCAAUGUUGAGAAGGCAUGGAGUCCAGCUAAUUAUUGAAAUGUGACUUUUCUUGGCCAAGCACACCCUUAUA
Molecule: long non-coding RNA, 977 nt
Organism: Megalobrama amblycephala (Wuchang bream)
Lineage: Eukaryota; Metazoa; Chordata; Actinopteri; Cypriniformes; Xenocyprididae
Exons: 5
Source: RefSeq, a predicted model, not a curated record